This 316-nucleotide ribosomal RNA is filed under the name uncultured Glomeromycotina. Its description in RNAcentral is "SSU rRNA". It matches the Rfam family "Eukaryotic small subunit ribosomal RNA", at positions 569 to 891 of the family's 1831-position model. The record is from RNAcentral. Lineage: Eukaryota; Fungi; Glomeromycota.
AGCAGCCGCGGUAAUUCCAGCUCCAAUAGCGUAUAUUAAAGUUGUUGCAGUUAAAAAGCUCGUAGUUGAAUUUCGGGGUUAGUAGGUUGGUCAUGCCUCUGGUAUGUACUGAUCUCACUGAUUCCUCCUUCCUUAUGAACCGUAAUGCCAUUAAUUUGGUGUUGCGGGGAAUUUGGACUGUUACUUUGAAAAAUUGAGUGUUUAAAGCAGGCUAACGCUUGAAUACAUUAGCAUGGAAUAAUGAAAUAGGACGUUCGAUCUUAUUUUGUUGGUUUCUAGGAUUGACGUAAUGAUUAAUAGGGAUAGGUUGGGGCAU